CUACGGGUUGCUGCAGUGAGGAAUAUUGGUCAAUGGGGGCAACCCUGAACCAGCGACGCCGCGUGUGGGAUGAAGGAGUUUUGCUCUGUAAACCACUGUUAGAUGGGAUGAAAAGUCUGCUCAGCAGACUGGGACCGUACCAUCAGAGAAAGGACCGGCUAACUACGUGCCAGCGGCCGCGGUAAUACGUAGGGUCCAAGCGUUGUCCGGAUUUACUGGGUGUAAAGGGUGCGUAGGCGGACUUGUGCGUCAGGGGUUAAAUCCCACGGCUUAACCGUGGAACUGCCUUUGAUACGGCAAGUCUUGAAUGUGAGAGAGGAUGGUAGAAUUCCUGGUGUAGCGGUGAAAUGCGUAGAUAUCAGGAGGAAUACCGGUGGCGAAGGCGGCCAUCUGGCUCACUAUUGACGCUGAGGCACGAAAGCGUGGGGAGCGAACAGGAUUAGAUACCCCGGUAGUC
This 457-nucleotide ribosomal RNA is filed under the name uncultured bacterium. Its description in RNAcentral is "partial 16S ribosomal RNA". It matches the Rfam family "Bacterial small subunit ribosomal RNA", at positions 339 to 795 of the family's 1533-position model. The record is from RNAcentral.